This is an RNA transcript of Apis mellifera (honey bee), 3772 nucleotides long. RefSeq lists it as uncharacterized. The transcript has 10 exons. The record is from RefSeq and is a predicted model, not a curated record. Lineage: Eukaryota; Metazoa; Arthropoda; Insecta; Hymenoptera; Apidae.
UUGAUCAAAAGAUAUAUAAUUAAUGUAAUUCAAUUUUCUUUUUUUCAACUAUUUAUUUUUAAUAAAUUUAAAAUUACAGGUCUUUGAAAAAAUUAAUUUUUUAAAUUCAAACGUGUUAUUUUUACUAAUAACAAUUUUCUCUUCGAUAUUAAAAAAAAAAUAUGAUCGUACUAUCGUACGUAUCGAUUUCACCAGUGAAUAUCUUCGUUUAAAUAAACGAAAGACAAAAGCCACGUACCAAUAUCGAGUUUGUUGUCCGAUACACGAUAAUCCAUCGACCGAUCGUGGAUCUAUUUGUCUGGACAACGUCAUUCGAUAUUCUUCAUGGAAACCUAAGAUGAAAGUGUGGAGGGAAAGCAAAAGGGCAGCGUGUCCACAGGAUCUUUGGUUGGAACUAAUACAUCAGUACCAACCUUUUCUUGACAUCGGUGGACGGUUGGUGAACGGAGCCGAGUCGAGUUUCAUUUACACAAGCUCCUGGGCGCAGGUGAACAAAUCGAGGAGUAAGAAAAAUAUUAUGCGACCACCUACCUCACAGCUUGUUGCUGCAUUGGUGUGCUUGGUAACACUGUAUUGCAAACGAUGCAAAAGUAGCGAUUUUAAAUUUCCAAGUAUAUUUUGGAUAGAGAAAAAUUGGAGAGAAUUGUUAAAGAAUUUUAUGGUUUAUCGUGGUGAGGUAAUAGGAAAUAAAUUUCACUCACUUUCUUUGUUUAUAAUUUUUAGAUUUUUAGAUUUUCAGAUUGAAAAAUUUUGAUGUAAAUCGCUGAUGUAAAUAUAUUCCUCUUAAGGCCAUUGACUGAAGAGAAUUGAUAUAUAAAAAACGAAUGAAGUCAAUAUCUUUAUUUUUGAUUCUAGCAUUUUAUUUGGAUUACUUUAUAAUUAUUCAGAAUUGAUUCACUGAUAUCGAAAAGAAAUUUUUAGACGAAGAAUUUUUAUAUAUCAUACAAAUUGUACACAUUUUAUCCACUAUCGGAUAUCGCGGCAAGAAUAAGUAAGGCAGUGCGCUGCUUUAUCUACAAUUCUAUUACGCUUGCGCUUGACCGAUCUCUGUCGAUAGCGCUCGGCUUUUUCCGACAGCUUUCGUCGAGCCAUCGGUUCCAAAUUCAAAGUAGUGUCUAUCGUACCGUGAAGCUAUCGAAUUCAAGUAAACAAAGCGAUUUUCAACAUAUCAUUUAUUGAUAUUUUCCUAAUCUUCCUACAGUAAAUUUGAAAGCUAACAAUGUGCUGUAUCAAGAAUGCUUUCAUUAGCCCCAUUUUCAAAGGAAAUAUUCGAGAAUUGUAUCGAUAAGCGCAAACAAAGGUUAUAAAAGAUUCAGAGAAAAGAAAACAAAAGAAGAGCUGCCAUUUUGAAGGAACCUAUUUUCACGGGCUGAGAUAAAAGUCUACGAGAAUAAAGACAGACAGAGGAAGGCAAUUUCUCCUAAAAGGCUGUUAUCCCGCGGCUUCGAUUCCUUUCGAGGAUAGACACGACCCGUAUAGAAGUUUUAACGGCGGAAAAUGGCUAGUGACGGAUCUCUUUUGCACCGUGCGGGCCUUACCUCGCGAACUCAGCACUUUACAUCGAGCACCUAUCUCUUCUAUCGUUCUCAUCAACGUCCAAUUAACUAUAUGAAGAUUAUCACGACAGUAACUUCGAGUGGACCGCUCGAUGAACCGUGUCUGUCACUUUCGAAUACGAGAACUUUAGCUUCGAGGGAAAAGAGAUGGAAAAUUUGAAAUUUUUAGAAGGUCGAGGGUCCUUGGCGUUUUUUGGUAAUUAGAUGACUGAUGUUAAUUUUUGAUUUAGUUUCCUCGAAAAAGCUGACGGGUGUCGAGUAAUUACGUUGACGUAAAAGAAGAGAACUAAUACUUGAUGUAUACGAGAGUGCAUAAAUUUUAUAUUCUAGCUUUUUAUGCAAACAAAUUUUUAAAAAUAAUCUCGUGUGUUAUUAUUGCAUUGAAAAAAAACGAAUCACUUCAAAGGAAAUUUUACAUGAAGAUUUCUACAAUUUUUCUCCUAUAAGAAAAACAGAUUAUACCAUAAAUCCAUAAAUCAUAAUCAGAAUGAAAAAUUAAAUUAUUAAAAAUUUCAAAAUUAAUAAUUUUUGCAUUUUCUUAUAAAAGAUAAAAGAAAAGAAAGCAAAAAAAAUUUACAAUGGUUUUGAAGAGGAAAUCUACUGAUCGAAGGAUUCCUCUGAGAUUCCCCGAGGAAUGGUAAGAAAUCCGACUAAUUUCUCGAAUCCGCGACAACACGGAGGAAAACAGAAAAAUGGGAUGAGAAAGAGCUGACCCAUUUGGCGGUAGAAUAGCCGAAGGGAAAAGAGGCAGCGAAUAGAAAUAGGCGAGAAAAAAAAGGGCAAACCCGUGUGUACGGAACACGCGGGUAUCUUUUGUCGCCGAUCCUGGCCACCGGCGUCCCGGCAUAAUUAAAAUUCUACAGACUCGCCCCGGAAGUUUGGACCACCUCCAAAAACCAAGUUACUCCAUGGAUCGAUCCAAAGGCGAAUCUUCUGUCUGUGACAUCGCUGCUGUUGAAUGAAGGGAGCUGCGAUCGACGAUGGGAAAGUUAAGUGUACCAAAGAAAAUCAAGGAGAAAUUGUUUGGCCAAGCUUACGUAGAAUGAGAAUGAUUGAUCGAACGACGUGAUAUUGACGGCCUUGGCGGCGUUUUUUUUGAGCGAUGAUGAUUUGCAAUUGUUGGAGUUAAUUUGUUAGAAUGAUGAGAUUAAUUAGAGGAAGUAUUAGAAAUUUAGAUGAGUAAUAUAAUAUGUUACUCAUAAUAUUAAUAAUAGCAAUAGAAAGAUAAUAGAUAAUUUGCAAUUGUUUGGGUUUAAUGUUUUUAUUGCGAACAUCGUGAUUUAAUCAUUGAGAUAAUUUAAUCAUGAUAAGCAAAAUUUUUCAGUUAUCGUUUCUCUUGGAUCACGUUAAGUCACUGAUCAUAUUGCUACAUGAGAAAUUGGAUAUUGCAUUGAAAAUUGAGAAAUACUUUCGAAUGUAUCCUGACACUGAUAUUAGAAGAGAAAGAUAUAUUUUAUAGAACGGAUAGGAUAGGAGACCAAAUGCUAAGCCAGUAAUUGGUUAAAUAUUUUAUUUGAGGAAUCUUGGGAGAGAGGAUUCCCAGAAAUUGGCCGCUUCGAGCAAAUAUUGAGAUAGGCUUCGUAAAUGGUUCUGCUCGUUUAAAAGGAAACGUGGUGAUGCAACACGUACAACUUUCCAUCUGAUCCCAGAUUUCAUGUCACAGAGAAAAAAGAAGAAGAAAGAAAAAUUACAAAGAUUACAAAUAUACGGAUCCAGGAUUUAAGAAUCUUUUGAAAGAAGAAUAACAAAUUAAUCUUAAAUAAAAGGAUUAAGAAAUAAAACAAAUUGAUACAGAUACUCGUGUUAGCUUGUCCCUGGAAAAACGCGACGAAAGGGAUUGUCGCAGCUGCUGAUCGCACAGUUUCUCGGUUACAUUGGUGUAACCGGUUCUCCAAGACUCCUCGUCGAGUCUCUUUGUAUAGGGCGAGGCCUGGAUUCGUGCCGUUCAAGCGAUUUUUAUUAAACGACGCGGUUGAGAGAAUACAUUGUUUGUCGCGAAUUGCGCCUCUUGUGGCGAGAGCUAACCCCUGCCACAAUACUACGACCCGCACACUUCUUCCCUUGUAAUUGCUGACUAGUAAAUUGCUUCGAAGAAAAAUUAAUUUGCGUAAUUGUGAUGGAAUACUUAAUCAUUAAUUUAAAUUUAAAUUUAAAAUAUUUGUGGAAUUUUAUCUGUAUUCGAAUAAAAAAUUCCAGAAUGUUCUUCGAUUUAAGGA